AACGUCCGUCGUGGAGAGGGAAACAACCCAGACCGCCAGCUAAGGUCCCAAAGUAUUGCUAAGUGGGAAACGAUGUGGGAAGGCUCAGACAGCUAGGAUGUUGGCUUAGAAGCAGCCAUCAUUUAAAGAAAGCGUAAUAGCUCACUAGUCGAGUCGGCCUGCGCGGAAGAUGUAACGGGGCUAAGCAAUACACCGAAGCUGCGGCAAUAUCUUUUAGAUAUUGGGUAGGGGAGCGUUCUGUAAGCCGUUGAAGGUGAAUCGUAAGGUUUGCUGGAGGUAUCAGAAGUGCGAAUGCUGACAUGAGUAACGACAAAGGGGGUGAAAAACCUCCUCGCCGGAAGACCAAGGGUUCCUGUCCAACGUUAAUCGGGGCAGGGUGAGUCGACCCCUAAGGUGAGGCCGAAAGGCGUAAUCGAUGGGAAACGGGUUAAUAUUCCCGUACUUCUGACUAUUGCGAUGGGGGGACGGAGAAGGCUAGGUGGGCCAGGCGACGGUUGUCCUGGUUCAAGUGCGUAGGCUUGAGAGUUAGGUAAAUCCGGCUCUCUUUAAGGCUGAGACACGACGUCGAGCUGCUACGGCAGUGAAGUCAUUGAUGCCAUGCUUCCAGGAAAAGCCUCUAAGCUUCAGAUAGUCAGGAAUCGUACCCCAAACCGACACAGGUGGUCGGGUAGAGAAUACCAAGGCGCUUGAGAGAACUCGGGUGAAGGAACUAGGCAAAAUGGUACCGUAACUUCGGGAGAAGGUACGCUCUUGAUGGUGAAGUCCCUCGCGGAUGGAGCUGACGAGAGUCGCAGAUACCAGGUGGCUGCAACUGUUUAUUAAAAACACAGCACUGUGCAAAAUCGCAAGAUGACGUAUACGGUGUGACGCCUGCCCGGUGCCGGAAGGUUAAUUGAUGGGGUUAGCGCAAGCGAAGCUCUUGAUCGAAGCCCCGGUAAACGGCGGCCGUAACUAUAACGGUCCUAAGGUAGCGAAAUUCCUUGUCGGGUAAGUUCCGACCUGCACGAAUGGCGUAAUGAUGGCCACGCUGUCUCCACCCGAGACUCAGUGAAAUUGAAAUCGCUGUGAAGAUGCAGUGUACCCGCGGCUAGACGGAAAGACCCCGUGAACCUUUACUACAGCUUGGCACUGAACAUUGAACCUACAUGUGUAGGAUAGGUGGGAGGCUAUGAAGACGUGACGCCAGUUGCGUUGGAGCCGUCCUUGAAAUACCACCCUUGUAUGUUUGAUGUUCUAACUUAGACCCAUUAUCUGGGUUGAGGACAGUGCCUGGUGGGUAGUUUGACUGGGGCGGUCUCCUCCCAAAGAGUAACGGAGGAGCACGAAGGUGGGCUAAUCACGGUUGGACAUCGUGAGGUUAGUGCAAUGGCAUAAGCCCGCUUAACUGCGAGAAUGACGGUUCGAGCAGGUGCGAAAGCAGGUCAUAGUGAUCCGGUGGUUCUGUAUGGAAGGGCCAUCGCUCAACGGAUAAAAGGUACUCCGGGGAUAACAGGCUGAUACCGCCCAAGAGUUCAUAUCGACGGCGGUGUUUGGCACCUCGAUGUCGGCUCAUCACAUCCUGGGGCUGAAGUCGGUCCCAAGGGUAUGGCUGUUCGCCAUUUAAAGUGGUACGCGAGCUGGGUUUAGAACGUCGUGAGACAGUUCGGUCCCUAUCUGCCGUGGGCGUUGGAAGAUUGAAGGGGGCUGCUCCUAGUACGAGAGGACCGGAGUGGACGAACCUCUGGUGUUCGGGUUGUGUCGCCAGACGCAUUGCCCGGUAGCUAAGUUCGGAAUUGAUAAGCGCUGAAAGCAUCUAAGCGCGAAGCGAGCCCUGAGAUGAGUCUUCCCUGAUACUUUAAGUAUCCUAAAGGGUUGUUCGAGACUAGAACGUUGAUAGGCAGGGUGUGUAAGCGUUGUGAGGCGUUGAGCUAACCUGUACUAAUUGCCCGUGAGGCUUAACCAUACAACACCCAAGGGGUUUUGUA
Molecule: ribosomal RNA, 1964 nt
Filed under: Vibrio cholerae
Lineage: Bacteria; Pseudomonadati; Pseudomonadota; Gammaproteobacteria; Vibrionales; Vibrionaceae
Description: partial 23S ribosomal RNA
Rfam family: Bacterial large subunit ribosomal RNA
Source: RNAcentral